GUGAGCACAUAUACUAACGUUGGAACAUACAGAAGAGUAGCCUGGCCCUGCACAAGGAUGGCAUGCAAGUUCGUGAAGCUUCCAUAUUUUUA
This 92-nucleotide small nuclear RNA is filed under the name Capra hircus (goat). The record is from RNAcentral. Lineage: Eukaryota; Metazoa; Chordata; Mammalia; Artiodactyla; Bovidae.